Molecule: ribosomal RNA, 564 nt
Filed under: uncultured bacterium
Lineage: Bacteria
Description: bacterial SSU rRNA
Rfam family: Bacterial small subunit ribosomal RNA
Source: RNAcentral
GGGGGCCCGCACAAGCGGAGGAACAUGUGGUUUAAUUCGAUGAUACGCGAGGAACCUUACCCGGGAUUGAAAUGCAGACGACGGAGAGUGAGAGCUUUCUUCCCUUCGGGGCGUCUAUGUAGGUGCUGCAUGGUUGUCGUCAGCUCGUGCCGUGAGGUGUCGGCUUAAGUGCCAUAACGAGCGCAACCCUGACUGUCAGUUGCUAACAGGUAAAGCUGAGGACUCUGGCGGGACUGCCGGCGUAAGCUGUGAGGAAGGUUGGGAUGACGUCAAAUCAGCACGGCCCUUACAUCCGGGGCGACACACGUGUUACAAUGGCAGGGACAAAGGGCAGCUACCGGGCGACCGGAUGCCAAUCUCCAAACCCUGUCUCAGUUCGGAUCGGAGUCUGCAACUCGACUCCGUGAAGCUGGAUUCGCUAGUAAUCGCGCAUCAGCCAUGGCGCGGUGAAUACGUUCCCGGGCCUUGUACACUCCGCCCGUCAAGCCAUGGGAGCCGGGGGUACCUGAAGUCCGUAACCGCGAGGAUCGGCCUAGGGAAAGCUGGGAAAAAAAAAAAAAUUGG